RNAcentral lists this ribosomal RNA (826 nucleotides) under Cenococcum geophilum. RNAcentral describes it as "eukaryotic LSU rRNA". The stretch from base 593 to 826 matches the Rfam family "Eukaryotic large subunit ribosomal RNA", at positions 1 to 232 of the family's 3401-position model. Lineage: Eukaryota; Fungi; Ascomycota; Dothideomycetes; Gloniales; Gloniaceae. The record is from RNAcentral.
AUUGAAUGGCUUAGUGAGGCCUUCGGACUGGCUCAGGGAGGUCGGCAACGACCACCCAGAGCCGGAAAGUUCGUCAAACUUGGUCAUUUAGAGGAAGUAAAAGUCGUAACAAGGUUUCCGUAGGUGAACCUGCGGAAGGAUCAUUACAGAAAGUAAACGCGGAUCAAACCGCGAACUUCUAAACCUUUGACGAUUGACUCAUGUUGCCUCGGCGGGUUCUCCCGCCAGAGGAUACAUCAAAACUCCUGUUUUAACGGUGUUGUCUGAGCUACAAGCAACGAAUCAAAACUUUCAACAACGGAUCUCUUGGUUCUGGCAUCGAUGAAGAACGCAGCGAAAUGCGAUAAGUAGUGUGAAUUGCAGAAUUCAGUGAAUCAUCGAAUCUUUGAACGCACAUUGCGCCCCUUGGUAUCCCGAGGGGCAUGCCUGUUCGAGCGUCAUUUCACCACUCAAGCCUGGCUUGGUGUUGGGCGACGUCCCCUUUAGGGACGCGCCUCGAAACGCUCGGCGGCGUGGCACCGGCUUUAAGCGUAGCAGAAUCUUUCGCUUUGAAAGUCGGGGCCCCGUCUGCCGGAAGACCUACUCGCAAGGUUGACCUCGGAUCAGGCAGGGAUACCCGCUGAACUUAAGCAUAUCAAUAAGCGGAGGAAAAGAAACCAACAGGGAUUGCCUCAGUAACGGCGAGUGAAGCGGCAACAGCUCAAAUUUGAAAUCUGGCUCUUUUAGGGUCCGAGUUGUAAUUUGUAGAGGAUGCUUCGGCGUCGGCUCCGGUCUAAGUUCCUUGGAACAGGACGUCAUAGAGGGUGAGAAUCCCGUAUGUGAUCGG